RNAcentral lists this ribosomal RNA (491 nucleotides) under uncultured bacterium. Its description in RNAcentral is "partial 16S ribosomal RNA". It matches the Rfam family "Bacterial small subunit ribosomal RNA", at positions 28 to 507 of the family's 1533-position model. The record is from RNAcentral.
GAUGAACGCUGGCUACAGGCUUAACACAUGCAAGUCGAGGGGAAACGCCGGGGAAGCUUGCUUCCCCGGGCGUCGACCGGCGCACGGGUGAGUAACGCGUAUCCAACCUGCCUCUGACUGAGGGAUAACCCGUCGAAAGUCGGCCUAAUACCUCAUGGCAUCGUCUGCGGGCAUCCAACGACGAUUAAAGAUUUCAUCGGUCAGGGAUGGGGAUGCGUCUGAUUAGCUAGUUGGCGGGGUAACGGCCCACCAAGGCGACGAUCAGUAGGGGUUCUGAGAGGAAGGUCCCCCACAUUGGAACUGAGACACGGUCCAAACUCCUACGGGAGGCAGCAGUGAGGAAGAUUGGUCAAUGGGCGAGAGCCUGAACCAGCCAAGUAGCGUGCAGGAUGACGGCCCUAUGGGUUGUAAACUGCUUUUAGGCGGGGAUAAAGUGAGGGACGUGUCCUUCAUUGCAGGUACCGCAUGAAUAAGAACCGGCUAAUUCCGUG